GUGGGAGGGUUAUCUCUCUGAGAUAUUUGUCAUCCCAUUUAUUUCAAUGAUUGAUUUGACUGGUUUUUCUGGUUAAGCAGGUGUCCCUUCCUCCCUCAACGCUUCUCAUGUGUCCCUCUCUAAGAAGCAGACUCUGUCACAAAGGAUGACCUUCCCAAUAGAAGAGGACUGAUUUUGAGUCAAGAAUAUAGGAGUAGCUCCACUCCCCUGCUAGAACCUUUAAACAAGCUCUCAAAUAAAAUCUAUCUCAUUCUAGUCCCUGUAAGGUCUUUACUGGUUUUCAAAUGGCAUGCAUG
Molecule: small RNA, 296 nt
Filed under: Nannospalax galili (Upper Galilee mountains blind mole rat)
Lineage: Eukaryota; Metazoa; Chordata; Mammalia; Rodentia; Spalacidae
Description: 7SK RNA (ENSNGAG00000006873.1)
Rfam family: 7SK RNA
About the family: 7SK was discovered as an abundant small nuclear RNA in the mid-70s but a possible function has only recently been suggested. Two independent studies have found that 7SK RNA binds the CDK9/cyclin T complex (known as elongation factor P-TEFb).
Source: RNAcentral